UAGGUUGCCACCAUUAUUUUGCUCUGGAGGGAGCCCAGUCACUGUGCAUAAAGUACAUAGGAUUAAAUAAGUGGCCACCAAUCACAUCCACUAUAACUAGUCUAUUCAAAUAUCUCUAAUAAAGCUUCUCCCACUGGAAGCAAGCCUAUUCAUAAGCCAUUCGCCACAAAAAUCAUGAGUUAUUUGAAAUCCUAGCUCCCAGUGACUAGAGAGGAUACAUCUUUUUAUCACAAAUAUCCAUGGAAAACCAAUGUGCUCUUCUUAAGCCAUCGA
This 273-nucleotide long non-coding RNA is filed under the name Phoenix dactylifera (date palm). RNAcentral's name for it is "long non-coding RNA (PDAC_LNC005065)". The record is from RNAcentral. Lineage: Eukaryota; Viridiplantae; Streptophyta; Magnoliopsida; Arecales; Arecaceae.